GCCCGGAUGGCGAAACUGGCAGACGCAGCGGACUUAAAAUCCGCAGACCUUUACCGGUCGUGGGGGUUCAAGUCCCCCUCCGGGCACCA
Molecule: transfer RNA, 89 nt
Filed under: Occallatibacter sp.
Lineage: Bacteria; Pseudomonadati; Acidobacteriota; Terriglobia; Terriglobales; Acidobacteriaceae
Also listed under: 1 other name
Description: tRNA-Leu
Rfam family: tRNA
About the family: Transfer RNA (tRNA) molecules are approximately 80 nucleotides in length. Their secondary structure includes four short double-helical elements and three loops (D, anti-codon, and T loops).
Source: RNAcentral